CUCUAUAUAAGGAGCAAUGUGUCACUUCAGCUUUGUGGAGUGUCAUUAGCCAUGGACAAAAUUGUGUUGGUGCUCCUGCUGUGUCUGCAGGCCUUACUGCUCACCACUGCGUUGGAUUCAGAUAAGGCCGCCACUUUGUUGACGGACAAUCGGCAACUUAUCAAGAAAAGAGCUACACCAAGAAUAAGACUACCAUACCGUUUUCCAGGAACAUUCACACUUAUAGGAAGAGUUGCAUCAAGAAGACUAAGAAGAUCAUACUGCUAUCGAAGACCAGGAGCAUGCUCACUUUUAGUAAGGCCGGCGCCAAAACAGGACAGAAACAAGACGGAAGUCGCCCACGCCUAGCGUGCCAAGCAUGACUUUGACAACUUACAGAAGCUCUGUUUGUUGUUUCUCUCUGCUCUCUAAAGCUAGCUUUUUAAAGACUGUCUGUCUGUUGUGUUGUCGUGGUGGGGAGAAGAAGUGGAUAUGUUCAUAAAGUGUGUAAACACCCUAUCCAGCUAAAUAUUCUCAUGCAAUGCACUGCUGAUUAAACAUCUGGAACAAGCA
Long non-coding RNA from Syngnathus acus (greater pipefish), 552 nucleotides. RefSeq lists it as uncharacterized. The transcript is spliced from 4 exons. The record is from RefSeq and is a predicted model, not a curated record. NCBI's taxonomy places the organism in Eukaryota, Metazoa, Chordata, Actinopteri, Syngnathiformes, Syngnathidae.